Molecule: ribosomal RNA, 464 nt
Filed under: uncultured bacterium
Lineage: Bacteria
Description: SSU rRNA
Rfam family: Bacterial small subunit ribosomal RNA
Source: RNAcentral
AGGACUAACGCUGGCGGCGUGCCUAACACAUGCAAGUCGAACGAGGUAGCAAUACCUAGUGGCAGACGGGUGAGUAACGCGUGGUCAACCUACCUCUUAGUGGGGGAUAACUAGCCGAAAGGUUAGCUAAUACCGCAUACGAUCGUCGCGAGGCAUCUCGUGACGAUGAAAGGAGCAAUUCGCUAAGAGAGGGGACUGCGUCCCAUUAGUUAGUUGGUGGGGUAAUGGCCUACCAAGACUCCGAUGGGUAGCUGGCUUGAGAGAGCGACCAGCCACACUGGAACUGAGACACGGUCCAGACUCCUACGGGAGGCAGCAGUGAGGAAUUUUCCGCAAUGGGCGCAAGCCUGACGGAGCGACGCCGCGUGUGGGAAGAAGGCCUUCGGGUCGUAACCACUGUCGAAGGGGACGAUAUUGACGGUACCCUUGGAGGAAGCCCCGGCUAACUACGUGCCAGCAGCCGC